CACAGAGCCCUCCGAGGCAGACUCAUUUCAGGUGCAGCGUGGAUUCCCCUCACCGAUCAUCCAAAAGAUAAGUCGGGGGCCAGGGCCUGGAGAUGGCGGAGUAGCAGGUUGGGAGUUCUUGGGACAGAUUCAAAAAUGAGCAGCGGGGAGAGCAAUCUUGUCAAGGGCCUCUUAGGACAGCUAAAGGGAGAGGCUCUGCUUUUGAUGGCAGCUUUCAGGCGGGCAGUGCAGAACAGCUCCGCUCUGUGUCGUGUUGUCCGGUGUGCCGUGUUCCCUAGUGUGUCUUUGGGGUCCCUUUUGCCUUUUCCCUUCGAGGCCCUCACCACAAGCAUGAUGUGUCGUGUUUAAUGUCCCCCUGUUUGUCACGUUCUGUGUCACGGGUGUGUGCACACGUUUGUGCCGGAGCUGUUCUGCCCUGCCGUAUGGCCUGCUGCAAUAGGACAAACCAUAGGGAGUGGGAAUUUGUAAUGUGGGCUGUACUUGGGCUCUAGAUGCUGUUCCUAGAUUGACAUAAGGUGUUUGCAGCUUGUGAGUUACCCUGGUGGUGUUUGACAUAUGUUGUAACUUUCUUUCAGGUGCAGAUGCAUUCCAUGUGUGGCAGAGGGUCAGGGUUAGGAGGUGCCGGGCCUUCUUAGGAGCGCGCUGUCUGAGAGACCCCAGCCCGGUGCCAGCAGGACCUUCCCAGGUGACGAGGUGGCCUUUCUUUGCACCAGAGACCAGCAUCCCCAGAUGUCUGAGAGAUAAGUAGAGGGCUGGGACCCACAGAGGGGAUGAAGGCAUGGUGCUUGUUUGGGAAUUACUGGGAGGGGUUUUUGAGUCCAGUUUGGAGCGGGGGGUGUUCAUUAAACGGCUCGUUAGGCCCCAUGAAAGCCAAGUCUCACUUUUGAUCACAGUGCUGACGUGUGCAGGGCAGAGCAGUCCCGGUGUGUCUCGUGUCACUUGUCUAUUGUGCCUUGUGUGUUGUUUGUGUAUCUCAUCUCCUGUCUUUUGCCUUAGGGGGGCCUGUCAGAAUCCUUGGCAUCCUUGUUAGCAUCUGUGAUCUCUGCAUUCCUUGGCCUGGCACCCGAGCCACAGAACUUUUGACUCGGGAGCUCAGACAGGCAUCAGACUCUCUUCUCUCUUUUGAAGCAUCCCAUCUGAUGUCUUGUCAGGUCUUGUUCUGGGCUGUAUGGACAGCUAUGCCCACCUGGAUCCAUUCAGGUGGAUUAGGACUUGGUGUAAUAUGAGGUUAGGUAGAGGAUUCUGACCGUAGGAUUCCUAGGCAUCCAUCUUUGCAGUUUUUGGAAGAAAUCAUUCAGUUAUCAUCUUUUUCCUUCGGGGUUCUCUGAGCCUCAUCAGCUCACUAUCAGUUUGAACUCAGUCGUCUCCUUUUGCAUUCUCUCAGUCCUUGCAGCCAUUUUCCUGGCCUAGAAUUUUCUGUCUGUGUUGUGUCCCCAUUGUCUGUCCUGUCCUGUCUGUCCUGUGUCACUGGUGUCUGCACACAUUUGUGCCCGAGCUGCUCUGCCCUGUCGCAUAGCCUGGUGCAAUAGGAGAGGGCCCGGGGAUUUGGAAUGUGUAAUGUGGGGUGUAGUUGGACUCUAGAUGGGAAUUGUAGAUGGACACAGGAUAUAUGGAGCUCUUCAGUUAUCAUUGAACUGUCUGACUGUUGUCCUAACUUUUUUUUCAGAUGCACCUCCUCAGAUGACUGCAGUAGUUCUGUAGAUUCCUUCUUCUGAAAGGGAAUAGGGCUCAAGAAUUCAUCUACCAGAGAAUUUUUGCAAGUCCUGGCUUGUAUUGUAUCUGCCUAUGGUGGCUUAUGUUCUAUGUACCUAUACAUCUAUCUUCUAUUGGAUUUUGGGUAGAAAAUUUAUCAGUCCAGAGUGGGGACAAGUCCUAGCUGUCAGAUAGCCACUCGUUGACCCUUCCUGUCGUCUCACAGGUCCCCGAGGCUGCUGAUUUCCCCAGGAUCUGCCAUUUUACCUCACGGAGUGGCAGCCAGAAGAUGUGUCACAUCACGUUCUUCAGCAUCUCGAGUUUUGCGACUCCUUGUUAAAUUCAGAAUAAAAAAUCCCCAGCCGGGUUGUAUUGCAUGAACUGACAUGGUAUGUACCGAUGUUGGCUUAAAACCCAGAAAACCAGACGAAGAUGAGCAGGAAAAAACCAGAAAAAAACCCUAUGAUGGACAAGAAAAAAACCCAGAAAAAGCCCAGGAUGGGCAAGAAAGAAAUGAGAAAAAAACCCCAGAAAAUAAUCCCAGAUGGGGAAGAAAAAAACCUAGAAAAAACCCCAGAAAAUCACCCAAGAUGGGCAAGAAAAAACCCAGAAAAAACCACAAGAAAAAAACUCUGAGAUGGGCAAGAAAAAAACCAGAAAAAAGUCUGAAGAUGGGCAAGAAAAAACCUGGAAAAAACCCCCAAGAUGGACAAGAAAUAACCCAGAAAAAAAUUCGAAGAAGGGAAGAAAAGACCCAGAAAACACCCAGAAAAAAAUCGCAACUCAAGUAUAAAUAUAGAAAUGCUUGUCAAGUAUAUGCAGAUAUAUAAAGAAAUGUUAAAUUAUUUGAAAUAUAAAAUAACAUAAAUAUAACAUAUAUACAGUAUUACUUGUA
Melospiza melodia melodia is the source of this 2587-nucleotide long non-coding RNA. RefSeq lists it as uncharacterized. Lineage: Eukaryota; Metazoa; Chordata; Aves; Passeriformes; Passerellidae. The record is from RefSeq and is a predicted model, not a curated record. The transcript has 3 exons.